This is a non-coding RNA of Caretta caretta (loggerhead turtle), 1408 nucleotides long. The record is from RefSeq and is a predicted model, not a curated record. NCBI's taxonomy places the organism in Eukaryota, Metazoa, Chordata, Testudines, Cheloniidae.
GCUGCAUUUGUGCCAGACUCUUCUGCCUUAAGUCACUUAUAUGUUGUCCCUUUCCUUUUUAAAACUCUGAUAGAAUUGCCAGAAGUGAAAUAUGCAUUGGAUGCAAACCACUACUGGAAGGUUUGGACUGAAACCAAGUAAAAAAGGAUAUUCUGAGCUACAGCUUCUACUCCACAUUCUGACUUGUACAGGGAGAAGCGGACAGGACAGACCUAUGCUGUAAGAGCUUGGGCUAGCUAUUCUCCAGAAGGGAGCGGGGGUGAAAGGACUUGAGGGUACCCCACAGGAAUUCCCAAGUGAGCCUUCCUGGUCUCUCAAAGGGGUUCUGCACUUGGGUGGUGGCAGCAUCUACCAAUCCAAGUACUAGCACUGACUGAUGGAACAUGAUUGGAAUGCAGACCUGGGACGUCCAGCAUUGGAAGCAGAACUUCAGGAUGUCAAAGGCCACCUUCCUAGAAAUCUGCAGAACACACCUAUCUGGAAGCUCAUCAACACGAUUGCUACCAGUCAGUAGCGGCUCAUUUUGGUAUUGUUAGAUCACCUCUCAGGGUUGUUGUAAUGGAGGUGUGUGCGGUUAUCAAGAAGGUGCUGUUCCCUCUGGUCAUAAAGCUAGGCAAUACACAGGAUGUUAUUCACGGAUUUACUAUUUGAGCCCCUGAAUUAUAUUGGAGCCAUUGAUGGUAUCCCUGUGCCUCUCCUUUGCCCCCAACAUCAAGCCUCAGGGUUCAUCAACAGAAAGGCAUAUUUCUUCAUGGUGCUGCAGGGCUGGCUGAACAUUAUGGGAGGUUCACCAAUAUGAAUGUGGGGUGGUCUGCAAAGGUUCAUGAUGCUGGGAUCUUUAGAAACUCUGGCUUGUUUUCUGCAAUGAACUUUUGUUUCUGUGAACCACUCUGGACCCUGAUGGUACUGGCAUUCCUCCUAUGAUUACCCUCUGUCUCCCUGGAUUACGAAGCCUCUUACUGGAUACUUGGAUUGGAUAAAGGACCUGUUUAACUAAAUCCCAAGUGGCUGCAGAAUGAUAGUGCAACAUACAUUUGGAAGACUGACGGGUAGAUGGAGGUACCUAAUGUCCAAGCUGAAAGCUGAUGAGCAAUAUCUGCAUCAUCAGAUAUUGAUAGAUGCUUGCUGUGUUUUGCACAACCUACGCGAGAUCAAAGGAGAUAGCUUUGCUGAGGAAUAGAAGGAGGUCAUGAGCAGAAUUCCUGAAGUUUCUGAACACCAGAAAGGCAGCAUCUACCAAAUGCUGCAACUGGUCAGGGACUCAGAGCCAGGGAUGCAUUAUGUUCCUACUCUGAGGCCAAGACAAACUUGUGAACAAUGUAUAUACCUUUGAGUAAGGCUUUUAUCAUGAUGAGUACACGUGUCUUAACACUUAUAUCUACUGGUAGAUGGAGUUUAGUACACUGCA